CAAAAACACAAAGGAAAAGUGGCUGCUGGACUGUUCUGGGGGCAAAAUGCUGGAAGUUUCUUGCUGCUUAAUACUAAGCGGGGAGAUGAGCACUGAAAGCAAUACGGAUUUAUCCAGUGGCUGAAUUAAGUGAAGGCGAAUCGUGGUUUGGAAGUCCACUGACUGACAUUGUUCCGGACCGGGGGAUCUGUCUCUCUGAUUUUUAGAGGAACUACAGUUUAGUGGCAGCCAGCCGGACACAGUCACCACGCCGCAGAGUGGCCAGCAACGAGCGGGCGAGAGAAGCGAGAAAGCACAAAGACUGAACUAACCCGACCCUCCUCCUCUUUCUCCUCCUUCCCCGGCUCUUUAUUUGCACAUUUACUAAAGACUUAAAAGAAAAAAAAAAAAAAAAAAAAAAAAAAAAAGAGAGAGAGAGAGAGAGACACCCCAACAAACCCACUCCAGCUAACCUACGAGAUUUUCGGUCCGCCGGGGGUUUCUCCGCGCCGCCGACCACGGCAAUGCCUUAAAUUUUCACUUCAAGGAAUAACACCCCCCGCUCCCCCGAAAUAAAAUAAACCCAAUAAACCUGCCAAGUCUCACUCA
Non-coding RNA from Agelaius phoeniceus (red-winged blackbird), 588 nucleotides. NCBI's taxonomy places the organism in Eukaryota, Metazoa, Chordata, Aves, Passeriformes, Icteridae. The record is from RefSeq and is a predicted model, not a curated record.